This 497-nucleotide ribosomal RNA is filed under the name uncultured bacterium. RNAcentral describes it as "partial 16S ribosomal RNA". It matches the Rfam family "Bacterial small subunit ribosomal RNA", at positions 28 to 507 of the family's 1533-position model. The record is from RNAcentral.
GAUGAACGCUGGCGGCGUGCCUAAUACAUGCAAGUCGAGCGAACGGACGAGAAGCUUGCUUCUCUGAUGUUAGCGGCGGACGGGUGAGUAACACGUGGAUAACCUACCUAUAAGACUGGGAUAACUUCGGGAAACCGGAGCUAAUACCGGAUGAUAUUUUGAACCGCAUGGUUCAAAAGUGAAGGACGGUCUUGCUGUCACUUAUAGAUGGAUCCGCGCUGCAUUAGCUAGUUGGUAAGGUAACGGCUUACCAAGGCAACGAUGCAUAACCAACCUGAGAGGGUGAACGUCCACACUGGAACUGAUGCUCGCUCCAGAUUCCGACGGGAGGCACCAGUUGGGUAUCUUCCUCAGUGGGCGCAAGCUUGACGGAGCAACGGCGCGUGAGUGAUGAAGGUCUUCGCAUCGUAAAACUCUGUUAUUAGGGAAGAACAUAUGUGUAAGUAACUGUGCACAUCUUGACGGUACCUAAUCAGAAAGCCACGGCUAACUCCGUG